This 1816-nucleotide long non-coding RNA is filed under the name Mus musculus (house mouse). RNAcentral's name for it is "long non-coding RNA chr7:6191288-6193104". Lineage: Eukaryota; Metazoa; Chordata; Mammalia; Rodentia; Muridae. The record is from RNAcentral.
ACUCAUAAGAGAUCCGCCUACCUCUGCCUCCUGAGUGCUGGGAUUAAAGGUGUGGACCACCAUGCCCGGUUCUCGUUCUUAAUGCAUACAUGGGACCUUCCUGGAAUACAUACCCAAAGAAAUGGUCGAAGCUGGACACAACUAUACUUUUAGGAAAAGAGUAAGUGUAUGAAUAAGUGACAGAAUGGGUAGGGGUGGGGCUCUGGCAGAAAUGGGAGUUUCGCUAGGAAAUACAGUUAGGAGGGUUAUAUGAUGCUAUCUUCAUGAGAGUAUGCAUUCCUUUGAGGCAGUGCUGCCCUCUGGUGGUGAGGGCUGUUUCUGGAACUAAGAAGGCAUCAUCUCUGGGAGUUUUUUCACCUCAAGUAAGAAUGAGCAGGUAGACAGCCCUUUCCACAAAGAGGUUUUUAUUGUUGUUUUGGUUUUGGUUUCUCUGUGUAUCCCUGGCUGUCCUGGAACUCGCUUUGUAGACCAGGCUGGCCUCAAACUCAGAAAUCUGCCUGCCUCUGCCUCCCGAGUGCUGGGAUUAAAGGCGAGUGCCCCCACGGCCGGCUCACAGAGGUUUUUCAGGAGCAUAUUAACUCAUCCUUUACACCUUCAGUAGUCUUGACUGUGGCGCUCCUGCCCCAGCCCCUGUUAACCAUGCUGCUGCUGUUGCUUCAGGCUUUCCAGUCCUAGUGGCAGGAAAGUUAUCUAAUUCGUUUUUCCAAAAUUGUAUAGCUACUCUGUUUCAGAGACCCACAAUGGUGUAGAAGCAGAUAACACCAUCCACCUUUGACAAAGCUGCCAAGCCCCAAUGUCCACCCUAACAUGGCUAAUGAACCCUAGUUCUGAAGACCACACCAAGACAUUGAUGCAUGCCUCAGGGUCCACACCCAUGCAGUAUCUUUCAUGGCAGCACUUGGUGUGGAGGUGUCCGUCUUGUGCAGUAAGACAGGCUGGAGAAGUCACAUUAUCAGCUGCAGGCUUUCAAGUUACUGGGAGGAGCAUGGAACAAUGGGAAGGUGGGGGUGUCGUGCAGACAGAGGCCAUGUCAUUUGGCAUAACAGGAAGCACACAGUGAAAAUGCUGUGCUUGUCUGAGAUGAAUCAGUGGGUAAGAGCACUUGCUCUGUAAACAAGGACCCGAGCUCCAUUUAUCAGCAUCUAUAACAUUGCACUGGCGCAAAAGCAGAAUUCUUACUAGAGAAAUAGAACUGAGAACCAGUUCUCCUAUAGCCACCCAGAGGCCAGCGGUACACACUGAAGAAAAGAUGGCAUCUUCAGCAGAUGGUGCUGGUCACACUUGAUAGACACAUUCAGAAUGAGCAUGCAUUCAUAUCCAUCACCCUGCACAAAACUCACCUCCAGAUGGGCCACGGGCGUCAACAUAAGUCCAGAUACCUUGAAUCUGAUAGAAGAGAAGAUAGGGAAUAGGCUUGAACUCGCUGUCCCAGGAAAGGGGUUUCUGAGCAGAGCACUGAUAGCCCAGGCACUAAGUGCUACACUUAAUAAAUGGGGCCUCAUAAAGCUGAAAAGCUUUGCACAGCAAAGGACACUAUCAUUCAAGCAAACUGACAGCGGGAAAAGAAAUCAUUACCAGCUACCAGUCUAGCAGAGAGUCUGCACCCAGAAUGUAGAGAAGACUAAAGAAACCAAGCAGCAUGUAAACCCAGCCCAAUUUUAAAAGUGAGGCAUGGCAAUAUACAGAGUUCUCCAAAGGUUAAACAAAUGGCCGAGAGACGUUUUUACAGUGUUCAUCAUCUUUGCCAUCAGUGAAAAUGCAAGUUAAAGUGACUUUGAGAUUAUUUUAGCCUAGUCAUAAUGGAUAUGAUUUAAAG